Molecule: ribosomal RNA, 365 nt
Filed under: uncultured bacterium
Lineage: Bacteria
Description: bacterial SSU rRNA
Rfam family: Bacterial small subunit ribosomal RNA
Source: RNAcentral
AGUGAACGCUGGCGGCGUGCCUAACACAUGCAAGUCGAACGAUGAAGUCCUUCGGGAUGGAUUAGUGGCGCACGGGUGAGUAUACCAUAGAUAAUGUACCUCUUAGUUUGGGAUAGCCACUGGAAACGGUGAUUAAUACCAGAUACUCCUUCUCAUUAUAAGAUGAGUCGGGAAAGUUUUUUCGUCUAAGAGAUCAGUCUAUGUCCUAUCAGCUAGUUGGUGAGGUAAUGGCUCACCAAGGCUAUGACGGGUAUCUGGUUUGAGAGGAUGAUCAGACACACUGGAACUGAGACACGGUCCAGACUCCUACGGGAGGCAGCAGUGAGGAAUAUUGCACAAUGGAGGAAACUACUGAUGCAGCAACG